Motacilla alba alba is the source of this 1125-nucleotide long non-coding RNA. RefSeq lists it as uncharacterized. The record is from RefSeq and is a predicted model, not a curated record. The transcript is spliced from 4 exons. Lineage: Eukaryota; Metazoa; Chordata; Aves; Passeriformes; Motacillidae.
UCCAUAGCCAUGCCCCCGAGCGGUCCCUCCCCCGGGGGUCCCGGGGCCAGCGCUGCGGCCGCCUCUCGUCCCGGCCCUUCUCCGCGGCGCUUCGUUGUGCUCGGAACCGGUGCUUCCUCCCAGGAGAAAAACCAAACAAAACGAGUCCCGACGGCCAGCCCGGGGCGACUUUGGUGCCGCUGCCAGCCCCCAGCAGCAGAGCAGAUAUUUGUGGCUCUUCUUCCACUCUCCAGGGCUCAGGCAAGGAAUCGUGGGUCCAGUCCUGAUCUGACAUGGACCAGUGCUGUCUCAGUUAACUGACUCGGUUUCCACGCUGCCAAAUGAGGAUAAUGGGAAUAUUGGUGCUGGCUGAAGGACAGAGAGCAAGUGAAAAAGGGUGAAGGGUGCCUUUCUCCAGACACAGAUCUUCAGGGAGGAAAGCAAAUGAAAGGCACAGCUGGGACUAUUCAUUCACCUUGUGAGAGCCAAGGGAGAAAGAAUGGAAAAUUCGUAUUUCUCCUGAAGAACACGUUUAAAUCAAGCAAGUAUCUGAAUGGAGGUGGCUCAUUUCAGCCAGAGGAUCUGACUUUUCCACUUGCUGGGGAGGGCAGCAGGACGGAUAUCCAAGAAGGGAGUUGCUAAAGAUCACUCCAGACUGCACAAAGAAAGUUACCCACUUGGGGGAGAUGGAAACCUUCAGCUUUGCCAACAUUAGCUGAAAUCCCACAGUGAGCAGCCCAAGGCACGCUCCAGCCUCAGAGCCUGCAGUGGCCCCUAGGGGAUGCUUCGAUGACACAAAACCUGCUGAUGGUGCUCUUAGGAUGGCCCCGAAUUACCCCAUCACUUACCAACAACCAAAUGUUCAGGCAGCACCAAGAAGAGCCACGUAAGGAGCUCAGAACUUUUGCAUGAGGUGAUGAGAGCUCUGGAUUGUGUGAGAAAUCCUCCCCUCCUGGGACACUUCCCUCAUGGGCUGCCACUCUCAGGGGAGGAACCUCUGAUGGAAGAGAGCAAACAGCAGACCUGGAGGGCUCACUGUGUGGCUUGUGACCACAGCACACAUCCAGGAGUGGGGCCAGCAUGCUGCUCAGGAGCAGCAGCCACGCAAAAACCAGCCCAGGACACCAGGCCAUCGCUGGGGUCAAA